Columba livia (rock pigeon) is the source of this 6665-nucleotide long non-coding RNA. RefSeq lists it as uncharacterized. The record is from RefSeq and is a predicted model, not a curated record. Lineage: Eukaryota; Metazoa; Chordata; Aves; Columbiformes; Columbidae. The transcript is spliced from 3 exons.
GGGUGGCCCCGCGCUGCCGUGCCGCCCGGCCCGCGGCCGCCCCGCGCCGCGCCUCCGGUUUGUCAGCACCUGCUCGGUGAUGAACAGCGGGACGUUAAACACCAGCGGCUUCUACCGUAAAUUGCGCAAACUUUCCAAAAAAUCAGCGAUACCGUUCGGGGACGUGGAAUAAAUUGGAGGAAGCUUUCCGUUAACAUCCAGGGAAGCGGGUCCUUCGUCCAGGUUUAUCUACCACAAAACCUCGGCAGUGACAAGGUGGCUUCGCUCAGCGCCCGCGGCACGGACACGGACGCGGACGCGGACGCGGACACGGACACGGACGCGGACGCGGACACGGACGCGGACACGGCUGCGCCGCCCGCCCGCCGCCAGGGGGCAGCGCCGCCGCGGCGCGGGCCCACCGGCGCGCGCGCGGAGCCCGGUCUGCGUCAGCGCGCGCGGCCCGGGGCGGAGCGUCGCCUGACGGCGGCCCGGGGGCGGAGCCAGCCGGGUCCCGGGAGUGGAGGCGGGGGGUGUGGUGCCGGCCGCGGUCCCGGCCCAGGGGCCCUCAGAACCGGGCGAAGCGGCCUCUGGGCGGGGGUCUGGCCGCUGGGCCGGGAGCUACGCCGCGACCCGGCCGGCGGCGCGCGCUGUCCCCGCGCGCCCUCUGUGACGCCGCCACCCGCCGUAACGUAAAUAUUUGUCUGGUGAGGCGGGAGGGGCCCGGGUGUGCCCGUUCCCGGGUGGCACCCGCGGCACGGACAGCAGGUGAGCGUGGCGAAGCCGAGAUGGACGCAGCCUUCCCCCGCCCGGCCCGUGAGCGCGGCUCGGCCCCGCUGCCGCUGCCGGGGCUGCCGCAGCCAGCGGGAGGAGAGCGGCACCGGCUGUCUGCUCAUUGCCGUUUAACGGAGCCUGCAUGCUUCACAAAUCGACGUCGUUCGCCCUAUAAGUAGCACUCCACACGGUGUAAUUUGUGCCUUUUUUUUUUUUCCCUUCCCUCCUUUCACUGCUCCAUUGCUGUUUUCUGGACUAUAAAGAGCAGCAAAGAAUGAAUGGAGUUGGGGUCCACGAGAGAUCAAAUCAGUUCAAAAGUGAGGAGGGAGAGAGUAAAAAAGUAACUUCUCAUCGCUCUUCCCAAUGUUUUGUGUGAAGAGGCCGAUUGCUGUAGGAUACGCAAGGCUCUGGCCUGCCUGUGUCACCAGCACAGGAGGUGGCCGGGUUCAGGACUAGAGGAGUCACUGCUUGGUUCCAGCAAGGCAAGUUCUGUGUUCCUUUGAUUAGAAGAUUGGAUACAAAGGGCCAACCAGCCAGCCAGGUUUUCUGAAAAAAAAAAAUACAGAAACAAAAAGAAAUUGAAGGAAUCCCUUCCUUUUGAAAAUAAAGGUGAGGUGGCAUGAAUGUCAUCUAAAUUGCUGUGCAUCUCUGUAUUUCUUGCACUACAUUCACAGGCCAAAUACAGUGUGAAGGCAAUGUGAAAAUCUGUCAAGGCAUCCAGGCUGUGUCAGAAAGAUGCUUUUCUCUGUGUUCUUGGAGCUAAAAGAAAAUUCAGUAAGUUGCUGAGCUGAAUGCUUCGUCCUCCUCCCUCACAAGCUUCUGGAGGUGACAGAUGUUUCCUCAGGGCCUGUUAUUUCAGACACCUCCAUGAUUUAUAUAUCUCUGCAAGCCUGGUGGGUGGAAUUGGAUGUCGCAGACGAGCUGAAAAUAACUCCUGUACUCAGACUCUGAUACCUACUGGCCCAUGUAGAAAAAUGAGAUCAAAUUGAAUCACAUUAUAUGUGCCUGGCACAUUCUUUGAGAUGUACAGAUGGAACAGUGGUGGGUUAAAGUGAAGUUGAAACGCUCUUGUGGAGAGCGCUGGCAAGGACUCUGCAAUAACAUUGUGCACAGCAGAACCACCCUGGCUUAACUCGCAUGAUUAUUUUGCUAAGAUCUGCAGUAGCUUACAGAGGAAAACUUCAUAUUUAGAACAAUAUGUAAUUCCCUGUGUGACUGUGAUGUAGAAUUGGACAGAAUGCCUUUGGCACCCACAGUGAGAGGUUCAGGAAGACAACUGGAUGGAUGGCCUUGCAGAACUGUGCUUGAGCAUGCCUGAAGUGACGCCAAGGGGCUUCAGACCUGUUCCCAUGGUCCUCACUGGAAGCAAUACUUGGUGGGAAAAAACUGCUGUGGGACCUUGGGGUUUCAAGCUGUUAACGCCUUGUCAGGUGUUUUGGGAUAGUCUGAUGGAAGAGGAAGACAAAUAAAUAUGCUACAUCCACAGGUGCCCAGCACUCCAAAAAUAUAAUCAGGGGACACUAUGGCCCAUAGGCAGGUACUGGUCUGGAGGCACAGUGUGAGGGCUAAGAUGUAAGGGAAUGUUCUCAGGUUAACUUCUCAAAAGCCGAGUUAUCUACUUCUCUCCAUAUGCAGAGCUCGGGUAGUUUCACCCAGCCAUUCAUUAAGGAUCCCGGGUUUCCCCGAGUGUGGCCUGGCCUCCAUUGGGUACAGCUCAGAACCAGCCUCCAGGAGAUUAUAAUAUUUUCCAAGGCUGGGCCUUUGGUCCAUGGCAGCCUCCGGGGGACAUGGAGCAGCGGAGCAGAGAGGGCCUGGGCACGCUCCGCCCCACCCUGCAGCCAGCGGUCAGACAUGCAGAGCCUGCCAAGAUAUCUUGGUCCAGAGAUAUCCCAUGUUGCAUCCUGGUCCAAGACUCACAGCCCCACUCUUGCAGGAGGAAAAUGCUGCAUCUCUGGAAAACACGUGAAUACCUUUGACUGAUGUCUUGCUGACGGAUACCAGUGAAACAAACACUACUCAGCAAAUAUUGGCAGGUGGAUUUGGCUUUUUAAAUCCAAAUGAGAAGUGGUGAGUCCUCUCAUGCCUGCUUAUCAUCAUCAUGCCCCUGGACACCAUUAUGGGUAUCACUUCACUGGAGCUCUGACCUUACUUUCUGCCCCAGCCUGGGCUGUGCUAACCAGCCUGCAGUCUCUUUCAGUGGAUAUCAAAUCCUUUUCAGUUUGACAGGCUUCAAAGUCAUUUCACAAAAUCGACCAAAACCCCCCUCCCCAACCCAAAAAUCAGUUUCCCCACCAAAAAAUGCAACCACUGCAGGCGUGGGUGAGGCCAGCUCUGUGACAGCACAGGGCAACACUCCAACAUGACUGUGUAGCAUGUGGAGAAGGGGAAAAAAUGCUGUGUCCAAGAGGAGCUGCAGGAGGAAUGAAGGGAAGAGGACCAUCCCCUCCCAAAAGUCUGGGACACUGACUUUACCAAAAAUGUUGAGAUCAUUUCCAGUCUGAUAGUGUUCAUAUCUGUAUUACUCAACUGAACCCCCACCCAGAGCCACAUACAGCACAGAGUGCUGAGUGACAGGUGGCUUCUUAAAUACCUGCAGCUUGGGGCACUGUUUGCAGGUCUCCUCAGCAGGUACUACUCUUGGUGACAUUUGACAUGAUGAAAGCUCACCCCGUCAGGACUGAGACACAGCCAGUGUACGGAAGAGGCUACAGGAAGAUAAGGUGUGUGGAAGCAACGUGCAUGCCUGAAGUUGAAGGAGACCGUCACAAGGACAAGGUGUCAGGAAGAGCAGCCACUGGCCAGGUGACAGAAGGCUGUUAAAAGGCCAGCUUUCACAACCAGCCCAGCCAAAGCUCCUUGCGUUGCUUUGAGACAAUUCACUGUGGCUACAAUCAGCCUUAAAAUAAUUUCAUCUGGGCUUUAAAGCUAGUUAGAACAUGGGUAGAAAGCCCUAGUGUGUAGUAAACUGACGAAGUUGUGUGAGCACCCUGGGUGUGAGAUAUUGCUGCAGAUUUGAAGUUUCUCCUGUCAGCCUGUGAGUUGCUUCCUUUAUUUUCCUUGCUAGGACAGACUGUUGUCCUAUCCCCUGUUUCUCUCCAUCCUUCAAGAAGAUGCUGUCCUCUUCCUAAGAUGUUUCUGUGCAUUCUGUGAAGUUUUGCAGGGAUUUGGUGGAACUGUCAGCUGAGCAGCAACAUGGACAGGUGACACCUAUUCUACAUGGUUUUCACUGUGAACACAUCUCCGCAGUCAUGUCUGUCUAUUGCUGUCCUAGGCCUGUUCACCUUUAUGCUUUUCAGAGCACUUCGGAGUUUGUUUUCUGCCUCUUCUGUUUAGAAAAUGUUUAACAUUGGUGAGUGUUUACAGGAAAGUGCCAAUUUUCAUACCAUGUUUAAAGGACACUGGUUUGUUUUGUCUCUAGGUUUAGGCAGUGGUUGCAACAAUAAGUCCCUAGGUGUAGCUAUGAGGAAGAUGGACUGCCACUGUCUCUGUGGUGAAAUGACAUUUGUCAGCAAGGAGAACUGACCCUCCAGAAGAAGAUGCUGCUGAGGAAAAAGAGGAAGCCAAGUGUCUCCUUUCUGAAGCACGUGGACUUCCCUGCCCUGAAGAGGACACUUGUGACCCUCACAACACUCCCCGCUGCUGCUUUCUCUUUCUUCCUCUCUCAACCACACCCACUAUUUAACCAUUUAGAUAUAAAAAUAAAAAAAACACCAAACCCACUAGACAGAGGGUUUGCUAAAGAAGGGUAAUUUUAAAAGCAGGUCUUUGAGGUCAGCACGUAAUUGUAACAUUUGGACUGUGUGAUCCAAGACAAAAAUAAUCCAGUGGGUGUCUGGCCCAGGAAGAGAGGAUGGCAGCCUGCAGUGAAGGAAGAGUGACUUGCACGGGAUUGAUCAGAUGGCAAAAGACCAGACAAAACUACUCGCUGGCACCAGGACUAAUAUAUGUGUAGGAUCCUGCAAGAUUUUCUGUCUGUGAUGGGAUUUGUAAGGGCUACUGUACUGGGUCACAGCCUCCCUUGGUUAGUAGCCCUGCCUCUGCCAGGGGCUGGCACUCGGUGCUUCCCGGGGAUUGAAUGGUCUUUUGCAGAAAUACAGAUUUGUUGUGAAGUAUAUUUAUAUAUUAGCCUGCUAAUGAGGAACAUUUCUGGUUUGCUCUGGAAUUUAGAGUGCUGAGGGUUUUUAACCAUUCUCCAUUUCCAGUCCCCCACACCAGGUACCUUAAGAAAACCUGUCUUCUUCAAAGGGUUCAUGGGCUGCAAGCUGUGCUCUUCCCUUGUAUGGUAUAACGGAGGACGUUUUCACACCUACAAAUGUCGGAUCCUUUCCUCACAGUACCUUCUCAGUUAUAACUGACAGCAAUAAGUUAUGUGGGACAAUCAUAUAAUGUAUUUUACCAGUACUUCCUCUAGUACAUUUUAAGUGAAGAAGUGAGCCUUGUAAGUGCCCCAGUAUCUCUGCUGUCUGCCAGCCCUGAGAGUACAAUACAGGGGGUAGGGCGACCACACCACAGUGCUGGUUUUGUUUAUCAUUCUGGCAAGACAGAGUGGCAGCCCUCAUCACUUGGAAAUAAUGAUGCUAAUUCUUGUAUUGGGGCAAAGCACCAACUGUCCACAGAGGACUCUGAUUUUCCUGGCCCCAGAGGUGGCAUGGGUAGGACACCAAGCUGCCUUUCAUCUCUGUUGUUCCUAAGACUGAGUUGCUUGCACAUUUGCUCCCAGAUGAAAGCACCAUAAAAAUCAGUUUUACUGUGAAAGCAGGAGGGAGCACGCCUGUACACUGAUGACAAUGGCUGGGGGAACAGAGCUGUACCUGAAUUCAUGCCACUUCUGUUUCCAUUCCAAGACGCCCAGCCAUCAACUCUCCAGGCUUUCACCACAGUUUAGUAUUGACCCUUCUCAAACCACUGUCUGUGCAUGAAAGGGAUUUAUUUUUAAUCAGAGGCCAGUGCUGGUUGCAGGGGUCUUUACUUUGUGACCUUCAAUACUGUUUCCAGGAGGAGACAGUGGGUUUCAGUACCUUCUUGCUGUGGCUGCCUCGGGGUCAGCCCUUCCCAGAACAGAUGCCACUGAUUUGGGAGGGCUUGCUGCCUCCCCUUUAUUUAAGUACCGGUUACACAGCUCCGCCAGUACCCAUUGCAGUCGUAAACCACACUCAAGGGAUGAGCAAUUUAGGGUUUGGAAUCAUUGUGGACCAGCCCUGGAGACCUCAUGCAAUUGUUUUUCAUCUCUCUUACACCCACAGUUUUGCUAAUUAGAGUUACUGCAGAACCCAGAGAGUUUCUGACUUGAAUUUGAGUUGGGAAAGACACACAAAAGAAAGGAAUUUGUGUUGUAAAUUAGAUUUCUCAGAUUUCAGUGAUUUGUCAUGGAAAUGUGGCUCAAUCUAUGCAGUCAUAAAAACAUUUCACAUAUUCAAACUCUUCUCAUGCUAUUCAGUUCCCUGAUGUGGCAGGGUACAGUGACUAUAGGAGGUAAGGUUAAUUUCAAAUCAGCUGUGUUAGAAUCAUAGAAUCAUUUUGGUUGGAAGAGAUCCUCAAGAUCAUAGAGUCCAACCAUUAACCUCACACUGGCACUAAACCAUGUCCCUAAGGACCUAAUAAAAAUGACUUGGCACCUCAGCUGAGGAAGCAUUAAACCUACAAAAUGAGGAUUAACCUAGAAACCAUUCCCAAAUCCUAGUGAUCUAUGUGAGAAUACUGGAUUCUUGUCUCAAGUUGUUUUCUGCCCCUUCCAAAGUGUCCCAGAGGAUAUAUGCUGCCUCUUGGUGCAGCUCAGGUCAGGGGGAGAGCACCCAAGUACCUCCCCAUAUGUGUUGUGCUCCCCCAUGAUACAAAAUGAAAACCACAAUUCAGACUUCAGUCAAUGGGGGUGGUCUAAAAAUAAUAGGAUUUAAACCAGUAGAUGAUGGUUU